This is an RNA transcript of Sapajus apella (tufted capuchin), 1480 nucleotides long. RefSeq lists it as uncharacterized. The record is from RefSeq and is a predicted model, not a curated record. The transcript has 3 exons. NCBI's taxonomy places the organism in Eukaryota, Metazoa, Chordata, Mammalia, Primates, Cebidae.
CUUGUUGACCAGGAUGGUCUCGAUCUCUUGACCUCGUGAUCUACCCGCCUCGGCCUCCCAAAGUGCUGGGAUUACAGGCUUGAGCCACCGCGCCCGGCCAGAGCUUUAUUUUUUAUCUAGAUUGUGUAUAUGUCAGAAGGUUGCCUAAAAUAAACUGAAGCUUCAUAGUUUAGCCUUUAGUUAUGUUUCAUAGUUUAGCAGUUAUGGAUUCAGUUAAUCUAGUACCUCUGAUUUCACAAGGGAUUAUAAUAAAUCUUUUCUCAGUUCACAGGAAUUUUGUAUAGUUGGUUAAGACAGAGAUCAAAAUGAGACAAACACUCAUUCACGUGCUCCUGGGUCCCUCCGCCAUCGCUGUCUUCCUGAGCUGCCUCCCUCUGAAUUUCUUCAUCACCAAGAGGAAUCACUGUCAGGAGAGCAAAUGAGGCAGAAGGACUUGCAGGCCCAGCUCAGCAGCCCCAUCCUCAGGAACUCGAGGAUCAUCAAGUUCCAUGGCUGGGAGGGAGCCUUUCUGGACAGAGUCCCGGGCAUCCGAGGCCAGGAGCUGGGCGCCUUGUGGACCUCCGAUCUCCUCUUCUCCGUGUCACUGGUGUCCUUCCAAGCGUCUACAUUUCUGGUAAUGUCACUCUAGUCUCUAUGCUGAGCAGGACUGGGGAAGGAAUGUAGGGGUCAGGAGGUGAGGUAGGUGGAGCCUCCCAGAUCCUACCACCCUGUCCAUCAAAACCCACACAUUUUGGAUCCUGUUCUCUCAGGGUUCUUGCUGUCUUCUGUGUGAACAAAAGUAUCACAUCAUUCUGGUGAAGGUGGCAGCAGUUGAUGAGGUCUGCUCUUCUGAGAGUUCCAGGCUUCUACUGAUGUGGGGAGGAGGAUUCAUGUGCAGGCAGGCUGCAGAGGUAGAAUCCGGGGUCUGAGUGGCUUUCCUGCUGCCGGCCAGCAGAUGUCCACAGCCACCCUGUCACUAACGUGAUCCUUGUCCUGCCAUUCUGUCAUUUAUUUCCGAUAGCUAUCAGAACACUCUUCCUAAAGCACAGCUUUCAGAAGAAUUUAAACAUGUUGAUGCAGAGGCCAGGUGCAGUGACUCAAGCCUGUCAUCCCAGCUCUUUGGGAGGCUGAGGUGGCUUGAACCCGGGUGGUGAUUGCAGUGAGCUGAGAUUGUGCCACUUCACUCCAGCCUGGGUGACAGAGCAAGACUUUGUCUCAAAAACAAAACUAAACUAAACAAAAGAAUCACAAAUGGGACCAACGCCUAGAGCCCUCCCAUGCUGCUCUCCCCAGGAGUCCCCAGGCUCAGCCCUCAUGUCUGUCACCUUGACAGAGAGGCCUUUCCUGACCACUUUCACCACCACCACGGCACCCCUGCUCACACUAGUGCGCUCUACACCUGCACCUGAAUUUCUCUUUACUUUUUUAUUUUUGAAGACAGAGUCUUGCUCUGUUCCCCAGGCUGGAGUGCAGUGAAUCAUUGAAUGAAUGAAUGUAAGAA